Molecule: ribosomal RNA, 468 nt
Filed under: uncultured bacterium
Lineage: Bacteria
Description: bacterial SSU rRNA
Rfam family: Bacterial small subunit ribosomal RNA
Source: RNAcentral
UCGGGAAUUUUGGGCAAUGGGCGAAAGCCUGAUCCAGCCAUGCCGCGUGCAGGAUGACGGUCCUAUGGAUUGUAAACUGCUUUUGUACAGGAAGAAACAGUUCUACGUGUAGAACCUUGACGGUACUGUAAGAAUAAGGAUCGGCUAACUCCGUGCCAGCAGCCGCGGUAAUACGGAGGAUCCAAGCGUUAUCCGGAAUCAUUGGGUUUAAAGGGUCCGUAGGCGGUUAGAUAAGUCAGUGGUGAAAGCCCAUCGCUCAACGGUGGAACGGCCAUUGAUACUGUCUGACUUGAAUUAUUAGGAAGUAACUAGAAUAUGUAGUGUAGCGGUGAAAUGCUUAGAGAUUACAUGGAAUACCGAAUUGCGAAGGCAGGUUACUACUAAUGGAUUGACGCUGAUGGACGAAAGCGUGGGUAGCGAACAGGAUUAGAUACCCGGGUAGUCCCUGAGCGGGCUGGCAAGGCGCAU